Molecule: small RNA, 122 nt
Filed under: Citrobacter rodentium ICC168
Lineage: Bacteria; Pseudomonadati; Pseudomonadota; Gammaproteobacteria; Enterobacterales; Enterobacteriaceae
Description: MicC RNA
Rfam family: MicC RNA
About the family: MicC (previously known as IS063) is located between the ompN and ydbK genes in E. coli.
Source: Rfam by way of RNAcentral
CAGGUUAUAUGCCUUUAUUGUCAAUGUUUGCUUUUUGUUGGCCCAUUGCGAAGCGUACUGAUUUGCCAACAAUCAUAAUGACAAGCCCGAACGAAUGUUCGGGCUUUUUUUUACCUGAUCGA